AUGAGCCCCUGCCUCCUGGGCUGUGUGGUCUUCUGUCUCCUGCAGGCAGGGGCGGUCCAUGCUGGUGUCUCUCAGGACCCCAGACUCCAGGUGGUGAGGACAGGACAGAGCACAACACUGACAUGUACUCAGGAUCUGGGUCAUAACUCUGUGUGCUGGUACCGACUAGACCCGGGACACGGGCUGAGGCUGAUCCACUACUCAGCUGCCUAUCCCAACACAGAGAAAGGAGACGUGCCCGAGGGCUACAGUGUCUCCAGACCAAGUACAGAGGACUUCCCUCUCAGGCUGAAGUCUGCCAACCGCUCCCAGACAUCUGUGUACUUCUGUGCCAGCAGUUACUCCACGGUGCUGCCCAGCCACCUCCUGUCUGGUGGCAAAAAAUCAGAUGAGGGUCCUGUAGCCUGGAACUUGGGGAGCCCCUUGCAGGCUCCUAGCACCUGCAGACUCGGAGUCCAUAGACACAUAGCAGCGUAG
This is a non-coding RNA of Budorcas taxicolor (takin), 477 nucleotides long. The record is from the annotation of a RefSeq genome assembly. Lineage: Eukaryota; Metazoa; Chordata; Mammalia; Artiodactyla; Bovidae.